UACCGGGUGACCGGAUGCCGAUCUCGAAAACCUGUCCCAGUUCGGACUGGAGUCUGCAACCCGACUCCACGAAGUUGGAUUCGCUAGUAAUCGCGCAUCAGCCAUGGCGCGGUGAAUACGUUCCCGGGCCUUGUACACACCGCCCGUCAAGCCAUGGGAGCCGGGGGCGCCUGAAGUCCGGGACCGCGAGGACCGGCCUAAGGCGAAACUGGUGACUGGGGCUAAGUCGUAACAAGGUAGC
This 241-nucleotide ribosomal RNA is filed under the name uncultured bacterium. RNAcentral describes it as "partial 16S ribosomal RNA". It matches the Rfam family "Bacterial small subunit ribosomal RNA", at positions 1251 to 1500 of the family's 1533-position model. The record is from RNAcentral.